Molecule: ribosomal RNA, 379 nt
Filed under: uncultured eukaryote
Lineage: Eukaryota
Description: partial 18S ribosomal RNA
Rfam family: Eukaryotic small subunit ribosomal RNA
Source: RNAcentral
CAAUAGCGUAUAUUAAAGUUGUUGCAGUUAAAAAGCUCGUAGUUGAACUUCAGGCUCGGACCGGCGGUCCGCCUCACGGUGUGUACUGUCGGUUCGGGCCUUUCUUCUUGGUGAGCCCGCAUGGCCUUUACUGGUUGUGCGGGUGAACCAGGACCUUUACCUUGAGAAAAUUAGAGUGUUCAAAGCAGGCCUGCGCCUGAAUACGUUAGCAUGGAAUAAUAAAAUAGGACGUGCGGUUCUAUUUUGUUGGUUUCUAGAGUCGCCGUAAUGAUUAAUAGGGAUAGUUGGGGGCAUUCGUAUUCCGUUGCUAGAGGUGAAAUUCUUGGAUUUACGGAAGACGAACUACUGCGAAAGCAUUUGCCAAGGAUGUUUUCAUUGA